This 301-nucleotide ribosomal RNA is filed under the name uncultured bacterium. RNAcentral describes it as "partial 16S ribosomal RNA". It matches the Rfam family "Bacterial small subunit ribosomal RNA", at positions 509 to 807 of the family's 1533-position model. The record is from RNAcentral.
CAGUCGCCGCGGGAAUACGAAGGGUGCGAGCGUUACUCGGAAUUACUGGGCGUAAAGCGUGCGUAGGUGGUGGUUUAAGUCCGUUGUGAAAGCCCUGGGCUCAACCUGGGAAUUGCAGUGGAUACUGGGUCACUAGAGUGUGGUAGAGGAUAGUGGAAUUUCCGGUGUAGCAGUGAAAUGCGUAGAGAUCGGAAGGAACAUCUGUGGCGAAGGCGACUAUCUGGGCCAACACUGACACUGAGGCACGAAAGCGUGGGGAGCAAACAGGAUUAGAUACCCGCGUAGUCCCUGUCUCUUAUAC